Molecule: long non-coding RNA, 1071 nt
Filed under: Bos grunniens (domestic yak)
Lineage: Eukaryota; Metazoa; Chordata; Mammalia; Artiodactyla; Bovidae
Description: lncRNA (ENSBGRG00000009222.1)
Source: RNAcentral
AUGAGAAACAUAUUUAAGGGACUAGAUCUGAUAGACAGAGUGCCUGAUGAACCAUGGACGGAGGUUCAUGACGUUGUACAGGAGACACGGAUCAAGACCAUCCCCAUGGAAAAGAAAUGCAAAAAAGCAAAAUGGCUGUCUGGAGAGGCCUUACAAAUAGCUGUGAAAAGAAGAGAAGCAAAAAGCAAAGGAGAAAAGGAAAGAUAUAUCCAUCUGAAUGCAGAGUUCCAAAGAAUAGCAAGGAGAGAUAAGAAAACUUUCUUCAGCGAUCAAUGCAAAGAAAUAGAGGAAAACAACAGAAUGGGAAAGAUUAGAGAUCUCUUCAAGAAAAUUAGAGAUACCAAGGAAACAUUUCAUGCAACGAUGGGUUCGAUAAAGGACAGAAAUGGUAUGGACCUAACAGAAGCAGAAGAUAUUAAGAAGAGGUGGCAAGAAUACACAGAAGAACUAUACAAAAAAGAUCUUCACGACCAAGAUAAUCACGAUGGUGUGAUCACUGACCUAGAGCCAGACAUCCUGGAAUGUGAAGUCAAGUGGGCCUUAGAAAACAUCACUCUGAACAAAGCUAGUGGAGGUGAUGGAAUUCCAGUUGAGCUAUUUCAAAUCCUGAAAGAUGAUGCUGUGAAAGUGCUGCACUCAAUAUGCCAGCAAAUUUGGAAAACUCAGCAGUGGCCACAGGACUGGAAAAAGUCAGUUUUCAUUCCAAUCCCAAAGAAAGGCAAUGCCAAAGAAUGCUCAAACUAUCGCACAAUUGCACUCAUCUCACACGCUAGUAAAGUGAUGCUCAAAAUUCUCCAAGCCAGGCUUCAGCAAUAUGUGAACCGUGAACUUCCUGAUGUUCAAGCUGGUUUUAGAAAAGGCAGAGGAACCAGAGAUCAAAUUGCCAAUAUCCGCUGGAUCAUCGAAAAAGCAAGAGAGUUCCAGAAAAACAUCUAUUUCUGCUUUAUUGACUAUGCCAAAGUCUUUAACUGUGUGGAUCACAAUAAACUGUGGAAAAUUCUGAAAGAGAUGGGAAUACCAUCUGACCUACCUCUUGAGAAACCUGUAUGCAGGUCAGGAAGCAACAGUUAG